UAAAAAUAGCACAUUCCGGCGCAGCCGUUCACCUUGUGCCAAGCGCUCCCGCGCCCCGUCCGCGGCACAGAUGCGCCUUCUCCCUCCUGCCUCCUCCUCUCCUCGCAGCAGCUGAAUAUACACCAGCAGCAAACACUGCCAGCGCCUUUCAGCCUUGCCGACGGCAGGAAAUUCACCGAGCUGAUGUCGGCCGCGGGGUACGCACGACUUCGUACGUGCACUUUUGGACAGUGAGGUUUGCCUCGUGUGCCCACGUAUCAGAGGACAAUGACCUUCAGUUUAUGCUCUCUAGCUGCUGCAUUUAAAACCACAGCCCAAAGUGCUUCCACGCAAGUCAACUGAUCAACUCAGUAGCUCGAAGCCACAGCACAAUGUCAUCCUCGAAGUGGACCGGGCACAAGAGAAAAAGGGGAAAGUCACGCAUUUUAUAGGCAUCUUCUGCCAGGACCCCUCCGGCAUAAUUUGAACAUGCAAACUGGCUUCACGGUCCCCAGUGGCUGAGCUGGUGUAUUUGCAUACACAUUUCUAGAGGCCUGUUUAAAAAUGCAGCCACCGUUCAAAUCUCUGACUGUGAAACUCUUUGCAGAGCCAGAGUUCACCUGUGGAGCUAUCAGCGCUCUCUGCAAGCUCUUCCCCUCCUCACCUCCAUUCCAUAUGACUCUGCUUUUCUGGACUGACAGACCCUGGGCAGCUCUUACCUUCUUUGGCCUUUCGUGGUGGGAUACAUGCUUCUCUUGAGCAGGGGACGUGGAUCGGCUCCUUCUGCCAGCAAUGAAGGAGCUACCACCAGAGUGACGCGAGGUCUUCUGAGGCACAGAUACAAUCUAGGAUGAAGAUGAUGCCUUACAUGUGACAAAAAACUCCACUGGAGGGAUGAAGAGACUCACCAUUUUAUUGAAGUGGUACUUGCAGUAGCCACAAUAUUUGACAUUGUCGACUUCUAGGACUUCCUCUUCACAUAAGAGGCCAGCCAUCUGGGCACUGAAAUACACAGAGUCGGGAGGUUGAUAAAGCAAAUUGUACAGCCAGACUACACAGCCCAUCAACAGGUGAACAAUUGCUCAGGAUACUCAGGCAGGAUCUUGGAGUCUCCUGUCCCGCUUGGCAAGCCUGGGGGACCAGUAACAAUUCUGGCGAAAGACACAUCAUGAACAAGGAAUUCAUGUAAAGCUGGGAAUCCCCUUACUCUCCAGAAUGUUGUUUUGAGGCUCCCAGGCUACAUGAGGAUAUCAGCCCUUAAAAUCACAUCAUUUAGAUGACACUCUUGCAUGUGCUGUGCUCAAGAAAGAACAUUCCUGGCUUGUGACUCAUCUCUUCUCUCCUUGUAUUCCACACAGUCCUAGGGAAAUCCCCACCCCUUCAUUCUCCCCAGGGAAGGCUCGCUGGUGAAAUUUCAGCCAUCCUGGGGAAGUUCCCUUCAUGAAUUGAGCAGGGGUGAUAUACCCAGGGUGAUCAAGGGUGAUGUGUCCAACUCCCCAUGCCACCUGUUUUGUGUGGCCCCAAAGCCAUAGCAGUAAAAACAAUAUCUGGGGCGGCUCCUGAGGCGAUGCUGUGGGGAACUCACCAGGUGA
Dromaius novaehollandiae (emu) is the source of this 1571-nucleotide long non-coding RNA. RefSeq lists it as uncharacterized. The transcript has 4 exons. The record is from RefSeq and is a predicted model, not a curated record. Lineage: Eukaryota; Metazoa; Chordata; Aves; Casuariiformes; Dromaiidae.